UCGGGAAUUUUGCUCAAUGGGGGAAACCCUGAAGCAGCAACGCCGCGUGCGGGAUGAAGGCCUUCGGGUUGUAAACCGCUUUUAUCAGGGACGAUGAUGACGGUACCUGAUGAAUAAGUCACGGCUAACUACGUGCCAGCAGCCGCGGUAAUACGUAGGUGACCAGCGUUGUCCGGAUUUACUGGGCGUAAAGAGCGCGCAGGCGGUCGUUCAAGUCGAGUGUGAAAGCCCCCGGCUCAACUGGGGAGGGUCAUUCGAUACUGAUCGACUCGAAGGCAGGAGAGGGAAGCGGAAUUCCCGGUGUAGUGGUGAAAUGCGUAGAUAUCGGGAGGAACACCAGUGGCGAAGGCGGCUUCCUGGCCUGUUCUUGACGCUGAGGCGCGAAAGCUAGGGGAGCAAA
This 400-nucleotide ribosomal RNA is filed under the name uncultured bacterium. Its description in RNAcentral is "bacterial SSU rRNA". It matches the Rfam family "Bacterial small subunit ribosomal RNA", at positions 355 to 772 of the family's 1533-position model. The record is from RNAcentral.